UACGGAGGGUGCAAGCGUUAUCCGGAUUCACUGGGUUUAAAGGGUGCGUAGGUGGGUUGGUAAGUCAGUGGUGAAAUCCCCGAGCUUAACUUAGGAACUGCCAUUGAUACUAUCAGUCUUGAAUACCGUGGAGGUCAGCGGAAUAUGUCAUGUAGCGGUGAAAUGCUUAGAUAUGACAUAGAACACCAAUUGCGAAGGCAGCUGGCUACUCGGAUAUUGACACUGAGGCACGAAAGCGUGGGGAUCAAACAGG
RNAcentral lists this ribosomal RNA (253 nucleotides) under uncultured bacterium. RNAcentral describes it as "partial 16S ribosomal RNA". It matches the Rfam family "Bacterial small subunit ribosomal RNA", at positions 524 to 776 of the family's 1533-position model. The record is from RNAcentral.